GACGAACGCUGGCGGCGUGCCUAAUACAUGCAAGUCGAACGCACGAAGUUGAAGAGCUUGCUCUUUAACCAAGUGAGUGGCGGACGGGUGAGUAACACGUGGGUAACCUGCCCAUUAGAGGGGGAUAACAUUCGGAAACGGAUGCUAAUACCGCAUAGUUUCAGGAAUCGCAUGAUUCUUGAAGGAAAGGUGGCUUCGGCUACCACUAAUGGAUGGACCCGCGGCGUAUUAGCUAGUUGGUGAGGUAAUGGCUCACCAAGGCAAUGAUACGUAGCCGACCUGAGAGGGUGAUCGGCCACACUGGGACUGAGACACGGCCCAGACUCCUACGGGAGGCAGCAGUAGGGAAUCUUCCGCAAUGGACGAAAGUCUGACGGAGCAACGCCGCGUGAGUGAAGAAGGUUUUCGGAUCGUAAAACUCUGUUGUUAAAGAAGAACAAGGAUGAGAGUAACUGCUCAUCCCCUGACGGUAUUUAACCAGAAAGCCACGGCUAACUACGUGCCAGCAGCCGCGGUAAUACGUAGGUGGCGAGCGUUGUCCGGAUUUAUUGGGCGUAAAGCGAGCGCAGGCGGUUCUUUAAGUCUGAUGUGAAAGCCCCCGGCUCAACCGGGGAGGGUCAUUGGAAACUGGAGAACUUGAGUGCAGAAGAGGAGAGUGGAAUUCCACGUGUAGCGGUGAAAUGCGUAGAUAUGUGGAGGAACACCAGUGGCGAAGGCGACUCUCUGGUCUGUAACUGACGCUGAGGCUCGAAAGCGUGGGGAGCAAACAGG
RNAcentral lists this ribosomal RNA (771 nucleotides) under uncultured Vagococcus sp. Its description in RNAcentral is "bacterial SSU rRNA". It matches the Rfam family "Bacterial small subunit ribosomal RNA", at positions 28 to 776 of the family's 1533-position model. Lineage: Bacteria; Bacillati; Bacillota; Bacilli; Lactobacillales; Enterococcaceae. The record is from RNAcentral.